Molecule: long non-coding RNA, 225 nt
Filed under: Capsella grandiflora
Lineage: Eukaryota; Viridiplantae; Streptophyta; Magnoliopsida; Brassicales; Brassicaceae
Description: long non-coding RNA (CGRA_LNC000619)
Source: RNAcentral
UUAGCAUUCUCCCUAAAGCUCAAUCCAUUCAUUGAGAGAUCCGUGUCCUGAAAUUGUUUGAACCCUCUUGAUUCUCAAAACCUUUUUCUGCCUAGCCAAGUGAGUUUGUUAAACCUUGCAUAACCAGAUUCAUAUUCUUGAGUAAUGAAUGUUAAAAGGAAUGAAUGAUUUGAAUGCAUGUGUAGAUGAAGGGAUAGAAUCAGUUUCAGAUUUGAUGAGUUUGUC